RNAcentral lists this ribosomal RNA (508 nucleotides) under uncultured bacterium. RNAcentral describes it as "bacterial SSU rRNA". It matches the Rfam family "Bacterial small subunit ribosomal RNA", at positions 19 to 518 of the family's 1533-position model. The record is from RNAcentral.
AUGGCUCAGGAUGAACGCUAGCGACAGGCUUAACACAUGCAAGUCGAGGGGCAGCAUAGAAGUAGCAAUACUUUGGUGGCGACCGGCGCACGGGUGAGUAACGCGUAUGCAACCUACCUAUCAGAGGGGAAUAACCCGGCGAAAGUCGGACUAAUACCGCAUAAAACAGGGGCACCGCAUGGUGAUAUUUGUUAAAGAAAUUCGCUGAUAGAUGGGCAUGCGUUCCAUUAGGUAGUUGGUGAGGUAACGGCUCACCAAGCCGACGAUGGAUAGGGGAACUGAGAGGUUGGUCCCCCACACUGGUACUGAGACACGGACCAGACUCCUACGGGAGGCAGCAGUGAGGAAUAUUGGUCAAUGGGCGGGAGCCUGAACCAGCCAAGUCGCCGUGAAGGAAGAAGGAUCUAUGGUUCGUAAACUUCUUUUGCAGGGGAAUAAGGUGCAGGACGUGUCCUGUUUUGUAUGUACCCUGAGAAUAAGGAUCGGCUAACUCCGUGCCAGCCGCCGC